Molecule: ribosomal RNA, 481 nt
Filed under: uncultured bacterium
Lineage: Bacteria
Description: bacterial SSU rRNA
Rfam family: Bacterial small subunit ribosomal RNA
Source: RNAcentral
AGGACGAACGCUGGCGGCGUGCCUAACACAUGCAAGUCGAGCGAGAAUCUUUAAAUUGAUUCCUUCGGGAUGAUUUUUAAAGAGGAAAGCGGCGACGGGUGAGUAACGCGUGAGUAACCUGCCUUCAGGAGGGGGACAACACUUCGAAAGGGGUGCUAAUACCGCAUAACAUUGUUUUAUCGCAUGGUAUUACAAUCAAAGAUUUAUCGCCUGAAGAUGGACUCGCGUCUGAUUAGAUAGUUGGUGGGGUAACGGCCUACCAAGUCGACGAUCAGUAGCCGAACUGAGAGGUUGAUCGGCCACAUUGGGACUGAGACACGGCCCAGACUCCUACGGGAGGCAGCAGUGGGGGAUAUUGCGCAAUGGGGGCAACCCUGACGCAGCAACGCCGCGUGAAGGAAGAAGGUUUUCGGAUCGUAAACUUCUUUAAGUGGGGAAGAUAGUGACGGUACCCACAGAAUAAGCCACGGCUAACUACGUG